UGGGGAAUUUUGCACAAUGGGGGAAACCCUGAUGCAGCGACGCCGCGUGAUUUAGAAGGCCUUCGGGUUGUAAAAAUCUUUUCUAUGGGAAGAAAAUGACAGUACCAUAGGAAUAAGGACCGGCUAAUUACGUGCCAGCAGCCGCGGUAAUACGUAAGGUCCGAGCGUUGUCCGGAAUCAUUGGGCGUAAAGGGUACGUAGGCGGGUAAGCAAGUUAGAAGUGAAAUCCUAUAGCUCAACUAUAGUAAGCUUUUAAAACUGCUCAUCUUUAGGUAUGGAAGGGAAAGUGGAAUUCCUAGGGUAGCGGUGAAAUGCGCAGAUAUUAGGAGGAAUACCGGUGGCGAAGGCGACUUUCUGGCCAUAACCUGACGCUGAGGUACGAAAGCGUGGGUAGCAAACAGG
This 402-nucleotide ribosomal RNA is filed under the name bacterium. RNAcentral's name for it is "partial 16S ribosomal RNA". It matches the Rfam family "Bacterial small subunit ribosomal RNA", at positions 355 to 776 of the family's 1533-position model. The record is from RNAcentral.